AGAAUCAACGCUGGCGGCGUGCCUAACACAUGCAAGUCGAACGCGAAAGGGACUUCGGUCCUGAGUAGAGUGGCGAACGGGUGAGUAACGCGUGGGUGACCUACCCUCGAGUGGGGGAUAACGUUCCGAAAGGGACGCUAAUACCGCAUGACAUUCCGGGUUUGAAGACCUGGAAAUCAAAGCCGGGGACCGCAAGGCCUGGCGCUCGAGGAGGGGCCCGCGUCUGAUUAGCUAGUUGGCGGGGUAAUGGCCCACCAAGGCGACGAUCAGUA
RNAcentral lists this ribosomal RNA (272 nucleotides) under uncultured soil bacterium. Its description in RNAcentral is "partial 16S ribosomal RNA". It matches the Rfam family "Bacterial small subunit ribosomal RNA", at positions 26 to 285 of the family's 1533-position model. The record is from RNAcentral.